Molecule: non-coding RNA, 45 nt
Organism: Alligator mississippiensis (American alligator)
Lineage: Eukaryota; Metazoa; Chordata; Crocodylia; Alligatoridae
Source: Rfam
AAACUGGUUUUAUUAAAAACCACCAUUUGACUUUGAAUGUUUUUA